GAUGAACGCUGGCGGCGUGCCUAAUACAUGCAAGUCGAGCGAACAGACGAGGAGCUUGCUCCUCUGACGUUAGGGGCGCACGGGUGAGUAACGCGUGUAUAACGUACCUAUAAGACUGGUAUAACUUCGGGAAACCGGAGCAAAUACCGGAUAAGAUAUUGAUCCGCAUGGUUGAAUAGUAAAAGACGGUGUUGCUGGCACGUAUAGAUGGAUCCGCGCUGGUUUAGCUAGUUGGUAAGGUAACGGCUUUCCAAGGGGACGAGGCGUAGCCGGACUGAGAGGGUGAUCGGCCACACUGGAACUGGGACACGGUCCAGACUCCUACGGGAGGCAGCAGUAGGGUAUCUUCCGCAAUAGGCGAAAACAUGACGGAGCAACGCCAAGUGAGUGAUGAAGGUCUUCGGAUCGUAAAACUCUCUUAUUAGGGAAGAACAACUGUGUAAGUAACUAUGCACGUCUUGACGGUACCUAAUCAGAAAGCCACGGCUAACUACGUG
Molecule: ribosomal RNA, 497 nt
Filed under: uncultured bacterium
Lineage: Bacteria
Description: partial 16S ribosomal RNA
Rfam family: Bacterial small subunit ribosomal RNA
Source: RNAcentral